This 587-nucleotide ribosomal RNA is filed under the name uncultured bacterium. Its description in RNAcentral is "partial 16S ribosomal RNA". It matches the Rfam family "Bacterial small subunit ribosomal RNA", at positions 355 to 1375 of the family's 1533-position model. The record is from RNAcentral.
UGGGGAAUUUUGGACAAUGGGCGACGCAGCUGCAUCCAAGCAUGCCGCGUGCGGGAAGAAGGCCUUCGGGUUGUAAACCGCUUUUGUCAGGGAAGAAAUCUUCUGAGUUAAUACCUCGGGAGGAUGACGGUACCUGAAGAAUAAGCACCGGCUAACUACGUGCCAGCAGCCGCGGUAAUACGUAGGGUGCAAGCGUUAAUCGGAAUUACUGGGCGUAAAGCGUGCGCAGGCGGUUUUGUAAGACAGAGGUGAAAUCCCCGGGCUCAACCUGGGAACUGCCUUUGUGACUGCAAGGCUUGAGUGCGGCAGAGGGGGAUGGAAUUCCGCGUGUAGCAGUGAAAUGCGUAGAUAUGCGGAGGAACACCGAUGGCGAAGGCAAUCCCCUGGGCCUGCACUGACGCUCAUGCACGAAAGCGUGGGGAGCAAACAGGAUUAGAUACCCUGGUAGUCCACGCCCUAAACGAUGUCAACUGGUUGUUGGGAAGGUUCCUUCUCAGUAACGUAGCUAACGCGUGAAGUUGACCGCCUGGGGAGUACGGCCGCAAGGUUGAAACUUAAAGGAAUUGACGGGGUCAUAGCUGUUUCCU